Non-coding RNA from Cricetulus griseus (Chinese hamster), 3907 nucleotides. The record is from RefSeq and is a predicted model, not a curated record. Lineage: Eukaryota; Metazoa; Chordata; Mammalia; Rodentia; Cricetidae.
GCUCCGACAUGGAAGAUGGACCUUCUAACAAUGCGAGUUGCUUCCGAAGGCUGACCGAGUGUUUCCUCAGCCCCAGUUUGACGGAUGAGAAAGUGAAGGCCUACCUCUCUCUCCACCCCCAGGUCUUAGAUGAGUUUGUUUCUGAAAGUGUUAGCGCAGAGACUGUAGAAAAAUGGUUGAAGAGAAAGAACAACAAAGUUGAAGAUGAAUCGGCUCCUAAGGAAGUCAGCAGGGUGAGUAACUGAAUGUACUUUCUACAGUGCUGCCCCAGGACUGCAAACACAGAGUUCCUUCCUCUAAAUUUCCAUGUUAUCUUAGCCUCAAGGUGAGAAAAGUGUGGCAGAAACUCUGCACCCUCUCCAGGGUGUCCCUAGGGGAGGCAGUGAAGAGAGAGGCUCCACCCAGAAGCCCCAGGGCUGAACACCCAGACUAGACACACUCACGCCUACACAUCCAGAGUUGUGCCACGGGCAGGGCUGUUAGAGCCAAGAGACAGCAGGUAGAGGCUGGAUUUACAGAUCCUACCGGGGAACCAGGAAAGGCAGCAUUUGACCAGCAUCCUCACUAGAGGCCACCUAAGCCGUGACCUGCAGAGGCCACCUUCAAGCUCUCUGUUCUGCAGGACACCACAGCCCACCACUGAACCGGCUCCCUCUUGUACUUUACCGGUGAAGAUCUCUGGAUCUCAGUUGGGUCAUCUUGCUUGUGGAGGGACCAAGGUUGAUGUCUGUGGUGAAAGCAUGACAGUGCUCAGAGACAUCCAGUGCUGUUGCCAUCUGGUAUAAUACAGUUAAGGGGUCUAGCCAUCACAAUAAGCUGGGCAGGUGGACUGGGGACAGCUCAAAUGGUGAAGCAAGUACCUCUGGUACACCCCAGCACCCAUCUUAACAGGCAGGGGUGGCAGUGCACAUCCUUAACCCUAGGGUCAGGGGCAUCCGAGGGGUCCAGGAUUAUCCAUAUGCUUACUACCAGCCAUGUUCCUGUCUUUUCUGAUGCAUGAUUGACACUUAGAAGUUCUGAGCUGGGCAUCGGUGGCUGAGGCCUUUAAUUCCAGCAUUUGGGAGGCAGAAACUGGCAGGUCUCUGUGAGUUUGAGGCCAACUUGGUCUACAGAGGGAGUUCCAAAACAGCCAGGGCUACAUAGUGAGACCCUGUCUCGAAAAGACAAAAAUGGACAAACAAAUCAACAAAAGAUGAAAAAGAAAAGAAAGAAGGAAGCUCUGACCAGAACAGGGAGAGAUGUGAUCAAUAUGAAAAGCUAUCUCAUCUCUCAGUUAGAUGUGCCACUUUGUGGGCACGUCUGGGGCUCCUAAGUGCAGAACCCUACAGUUAUGUGUUGUUGUACUCUCAGAAAUGGAAUUGUGACAGGAAUGGAGUCCAUUUUGAAGUUUUCUUCCAUAAUGUUAAUCCUGCCCCCCCCUCCGCCCCCCCCCCAGUAUUUAUAAAAGGCUGCUGUUAGCUCUUGGAAUGCAUGGUAUUCAUUAGAAUAUUGGUAUAAAUGCUUUGGAUUUACUAAGCCAACCUGAUGUGGGGAGUUUCACACUUAACUGAAACCCCUCUGUUUGGGGUGUUCUCACUGGUGUUUCUUGGCACAUCAGCCCCUUGUGUUUGUUGUCUUAACUCUGCUGAUCCUCAACAUUCUCUAAGACCUCCAGGGCCACUGUGUGCCCUGCUAACUGUGAGUUCUGUAGUGACUACCUACUUUUGCUCACCUCGGGCCAUCACAUUUAAGAUUGUAUCUGUGUUUCCACCCCUACAGUUAGCCCAUUGAUAAUCACUCACUGGAUUUGAGUUCUCCUGAGAAAACAAAUGCUUCCCUAAUAUUCAUUUUCUGUAGGUCCUUCCCCACACAAAAGUUAGCUUUUGUCCCAUGUCCCAUUGUGUCCCAUGUCCCCUCACAUAGUGAGGACAGACCUUCCUUCACAAACCAUUUUAAAUGUAGUUGUGGAGCUUGUGGGGGAGCCCAUUGUUUCUUUCCUUCCUUCCUUCCUUCCUUCCUUCUUUCUUUCUUUUUUUCUUUCUUUCUUUCUGAUGGUACUUGUGAAUGGCUGGCUAGUUUCCCCAUACCUCUUAUCUUUUCAUGUCUCUGUCUCACAGACUUUCCUGACAGCUGAGAGGGUGAGUGACAUCACCUUCAGAGUUAAGUGAUCCGGGGCCUUGAGGGGACAGGACUUAGCAUAGUCCCUGGAAGUGUGACUGCCAGGUUUUUCCUAGGUGGACGGACAGAUUGCUUUGCCAGGUGUUCUGAGGGAAUGGUAAUGGUCACUGUCAACCCAGUCCUGGAGCCACACCAGGCUCUCUCUGUGUUAAAUUGGGAUCCCGUGUGUCAUUACUCUCCCCAGGAUAUUGUUAUUUACUUUAUGAGCCAUCCUUUUGGGAAGAGGAUUUUAAGUAAGCCCCAGGUGGUCAUUUUCAGCUUGGCUUUGUUGGUCUUGAAACUUUGGCAAGGUUGCCUUUAGACUUACAAAUACAGCAGCCACAGUUACCCGGAUUCCCCACAGCUUCAGUUUUCUCCUUGACUCAAUUUGUGUGUGUUUGUGUGUGUGUGUGUGUGUGUGUGUGUGUGUGUGUGUGUGUGUGUGUGUGUGAUUUAGUUAAGAAAGAGAAGGCCAUUCAAUGACAGCUCUAAAGUAAUUGCUUUUCACGGGGUAGCCAGCUUUUCUUCCCUCCUCUGCAUAAAUGAAAUACUCAUAACAUCAUGGGACUUUCUGAGUGACCUGAUUUUGAUAGGCACUUUGUGCUGUGUGCCCAUCCUCAGCUCUGUUCUGGCAAGUGGUGUGGCAUGCAGGGAGGGGACAGACUAUAGCUGGCACUGUUCAUCCCAGAGGGCUUAGAACAGAGCAGGUUCAGUCCCCAGGCACAGGAGGGGAUGGUAGCAGGGAGGGAGAAUCAGGAAGGUGACAAUUCAGGUGCAGCCUUUGUGCCUGGUGAAGAGAUGAAGGCUCCAACAAACUGAAAACAGCCUUGCCAAGAAAGUAAUUAAGAUUGAGUUUUGUUGAAUUCCUAGUAUUCAAAUGCUUAGGCUGUAAGAUGGAGACACAAAAGUGGGACUGGGGAUGCCCCCACCCCUCCUCAGCCUAAUGAGCAGCAGAGCACUAUUUCCUACAGCCCCUGAACCGAGAGCAAGGCUGUAUUUCACACAGAAGCAAGUGGCCUGAAGGGUUGAUCUUAUUUUCUUUGGGGAAUAUUUUUGACUUCAGACAAAUGAUUUCCGCUUUGCUAUUUAUGUCCUUCUUGUUUCUUUGCUUACUCUGUAGUGUAUUUUUAUUCUUUUUUUUCUCUUUGAAACUUAACCUUUCUUGGUGGGGAAUAUAGAGCUGAAGCUGGGUAAUGGAGCAGCAGGGGCCCGAAGUACACCCUGUGCCUUGUGGAGGCUGCUCUUUCAGGUGCUCCAACUCCCAGAAAGUGAGAAUGAUCCCUGUAGAAACUCCUCCCCCACCAAGGAUCACUGGACUAGCUGCCCAAGGGGAGUCCACAGAUAAUUUGAGCAGUGUCUGACACCUUCUGGUCUCCUGAACUGGAGUUAAUAGAUGGUUGUGAGCCACCGUGUGGGUGUGGGAAAUUGAACCAGGGUCCUCUAGAAGAGCAGCCAGCGCCCUUAACUGCAGGGGCACCUCUCAAGCCUCCUAUGAGAGAUAUUCUAAUGGCUUGGCAGAGAACCUAGUCAUAGCUGAACAUAUAAAGUGGAAGAAGCAGGGAGAUGAAAAGACUUGGAGCUUCUCUGUGAGGGAAUGGGAUCUUCUGUAUAGGUGGGUGUAAAGGGAAGUAGGCUGCCUCAGUGUCCACAAGGACAGGCACCAGCACCUCCCCUUCAGGGUAAAGUUCUAUUAGCAUUGAAUUGCAUAAAAGUGCACAUAUAGCCAGGCAUUGGUGGUGCAUGGCUUUAAUCCCAUCUCUUGGCAGAGGCA